This is a long non-coding RNA of Lagenorhynchus albirostris (white-beaked dolphin), 1354 nucleotides long. RefSeq lists it as uncharacterized. The record is from RefSeq and is a predicted model, not a curated record. NCBI's taxonomy places the organism in Eukaryota, Metazoa, Chordata, Mammalia, Artiodactyla, Delphinidae. The transcript is spliced from 4 exons.
CACACAAUUUCUGAGAGUCAGGACUCCAAGACUGACUUAGCUGGGCAGUUCUGGCUCAGGCUGUCUCCUGAGGUUGCAGUCAAGCUCUCAGCCAGAACCGCAGUCAUCUGAAGCUUUGCCUGGACCUGGAUCUGCCUCCUGGCUCCACCUCGAGCUCACUCAGUUCCUUGUCACACCGACCUCUCCAGAGGGCUGCUGGCUUUCUCCAGAGCAAAUGACCAGAGAGACAGAGACUGAGAUGGAGGUGCAUUGACUUUCAUAAGGUAAUCUCAGAAAUGACAUACUCUCCUGUCUACAGUAUCCUAUUGUUUACACACACCAGCCCUGAUAAGAUGUAGGAGGGGAUGACACCAGGGUGCGAAUGCCAGGAAGCAGUGAUCGUUGGAGGUCGGCUACCUCACUGAUCGCAGUUGAAGGCGCUGGUUCACCAUCUUUCUCUUGACCCUGGGAGACAACAGUGAUCAGGCCAUCAUAGAAGGAAGACCCAGCUCACCUCCUUGAGGACCCAGGCUAUGCUGAGAGGUGACCUUCAAGAUGCCCAGCAGAAGACCAUUCCCUAGAAGACAAUGGGGUCCCUUCCCCGUCCUGGGUUGAAGAUUGCUACUUCUGCCUGUUUCCGCAGUCCCAGCCUUCCCAGCUGGGCUCCUUCUCCCAACCAGCUGCUGACUCGGACUCUCCCUGCUUACACCUCGCUCUCCUGCCUCCUGCCUCUCCCCUGAGACAAUCUCACGCACGAGAAUCAUCUUCUUAAGAAGGGUUGUUAUUGCUAACCCCACGGCCUGGGACACGUUCCAGAGAAACCAACACAGGGCUGUGACUAAGGUUCCCGUGCUCUGGACUCUCACCCAGGGUUGGAGAUCCUGGUACCCUUUCCAAGAGGUUCUGGGAAUCUGGGCCGUAAGCUCCUUGAGGGAUGUUAGAGUUCAUGCCGUAUAUACUUCUGGUUCCUACAGAAUCCACUCUGGGGCCUUUGCUGCAAAGUCCAAGUUGGUAAGGAAUUCUCUGAUGAUGGAUUUCCCUCGUGGCGCAGUGGUUAAGAAUUUGCCUGCUAAAGCAGGGGACACAGGUUCGAGCCCUGGUCCAGGAAGUUCCCACAUGCCGCGGAGCAACUAAGCCCGUGCGCCACAACUACUGAGCCCGCGCUCUAGAGCCCGUGAGCCACAACUGAUUAGCCCGCACUCCACAACUACUGAAGCUCGCACGCCUAGAGCCCGCGCUCCGCAACAAGGGAAGCCACUGCAAUGAGAAGCCUGUGCACCACAACCAAGAGUAGUCCCCACUCGCCCCCACUAGAGAAAGCCCGCGCGCAGCAACUAAGACCCAACGCAGCCAAAAAUAAAUUAAUUAAUUUAAA